RNAcentral lists this ribosomal RNA (393 nucleotides) under uncultured bacterium. RNAcentral describes it as "bacterial SSU rRNA". It matches the Rfam family "Bacterial small subunit ribosomal RNA", at positions 335 to 719 of the family's 1533-position model. The record is from RNAcentral.
ACUCCUACGGGAGGCAGCAGUGGGGAAUAUUGCACAAUGGGGGAAACCCUGAUGCAGCCAUGCCGCGUGUGUGAAGAAGGCCUUCGGUUGUAAAGACACUUUCUAGUAGGGAGGAAGGUAGUGUAGUUAACACCUGCAUUAUUUGUACGUUACCUACAGAAGAAGCACCGGCUAACUCCGUGCCAGCAGCCGCGGUAAUACGGAGGGUGCGAGCGUUAAUCGGAAUUACUGGGCGUAAAGCGCAUGUAGGCGGCCUGUUAAGUCAGAUGUGAAAGCCCGGGCGUUAACCUCGGAAUUGCAUUUGAAACUGGCAGGCUAGAGUCUUGUAGAGGGGUUAGGAAUUUCAGGUGUAGCGGUGAAAUGCGUAGAGAUCUGAAGGAAUACCAGUGCGAA